This 531-nucleotide ribosomal RNA is filed under the name uncultured Polaribacter sp. RNAcentral's name for it is "bacterial SSU rRNA". It matches the Rfam family "Bacterial small subunit ribosomal RNA", at positions 78 to 606 of the family's 1533-position model. Lineage: Bacteria; Pseudomonadati; Bacteroidota; Flavobacteriia; Flavobacteriales; Flavobacteriaceae. The record is from RNAcentral.
GCUUGCUACAGAUGACGACCGGCGCACGGGUGCGUAACGCGUAUAGAACCUACCUUUUACAGAGGGAUAGCCUUUAGAAAUGAAGAUUAAUACCUUAUGGUAUUAUAGACUGGCAUCAGUUUAUAAUUAAAGAUUUAUCGGUAAAAGAUGGCUAUGCGUCCUAUUAGUUAGAUGGUAAGGUAACGGCUUACCAUGACAUCGAUAGGUAGGGGUCCUGAGAGGGAGAUCCCCCACACUGGUACUGAGACACGGACCAGACUCCUACGGGAGGCAGCAGUGAGGAAUAUUGGGCAAUGGAGGCAACUCUGACCCAGCCAUGCCGCGUGCAGGAAGACGGCCCUAUGGGUUGUAAACUGCUUUUAUACAGGAAGAAACACUAGUACGUGUACUAGCUUGACGGUACUGUAAGAAUAAGGACCGGCUAACUCCGUGCCAGCAGCCGCGGUAAUACGGAGGGUCCGAGCGUUAUCCGGAAUCAUUGGGUUUAAAGGGUCCGCAGGCGGUCAAUUAAGUCAGAGGUGAAAUACCAUA